CCUACGGGAGGCAGCAGUGAGGAAUAUUGGUCAAUGGCCGGAAGGCUGAACCAGCCAAGCCGCGUGAAGGACGAAGGUGCCAAGCAUUGUAAACUUCUUUUGUCAAGGGACAAAAUCAGGCUCGAGAGCCUGACCGAGGGUACUUGAAGAAACAGCAUCGGCUAACCUCGUGCCAGCAGCCGCGGUAAUACGGGGGAUGCGAGCGUUAUCCGGAUUUAUUGGGUUUAAAGGGUGCGUAGGCGGGCUGUUAAGUCAGCGGGAAAAGCCCGGGGCUCAACCCCGUCGAGCCGUUGAAACUGGCUGUCUUGAGAUGUCGAGAGGUAUGCGGAAUGCGCAGUGUAGCGGUGAAAUGCGUAGAUAUUGCGCAGAACUCCGAUUGCGAAGGCAGCAUACCGGCGGCGAUCUGACGCUGAGGCACGAAAGCGUGGGUAUCGAACAGGAUUAGAUACCCCUGUAGUC
Molecule: ribosomal RNA, 459 nt
Filed under: uncultured bacterium
Lineage: Bacteria
Description: partial 16S ribosomal RNA
Rfam family: Bacterial small subunit ribosomal RNA
Source: RNAcentral